GGCCCGUUAGCUCAGUUGGUUAGAGCGUCGCUAAUAACGCGAAGGUCGCGGGUUCGAUCCCCUCACGGGCCA
Molecule: transfer RNA, 72 nt
Filed under: Trichonephila inaurata madagascariensis
Lineage: Eukaryota; Metazoa; Arthropoda; Arachnida; Araneae; Nephilidae
Rfam family: tRNA
About the family: Transfer RNA (tRNA) molecules are approximately 80 nucleotides in length. Their secondary structure includes four short double-helical elements and three loops (D, anti-codon, and T loops).
Source: Rfam by way of RNAcentral